GAUGAACGCUGGCGGCGUGCCUAAUACAUGCCAGUCGAGCGAACAGAUGAGGAGCUUGCUCCUCUGACGUUAGCGGCGGACGGGUGAGUAACACGUGGAUAACCUACCUAUAAGACUGGGAUAACUUCGGGAAACCGGAGCUAAUACCGGAUAAUAUAUUGAACCGCAUGGUUCAAUAGUGAAAGACGGUUUUGCUGUCACUUAUAGAUGGAUCCGCGCCGCAUUAGCUAGUUGGUAAGGUAACGGCUUACCAAGGCAACGAUGCGUAGCCGACCUGAGAGGGUGAUCGGCCACACUGGAACUGAGACACGGUCCAGACUCCUACGGGAGGCAGCAGUAGGGAAUCUUCCGCAAUGGGCGAAAGCCUGACGGAGCAACGCCGCAUGAGUGAUGAAGGUCUUCGGAUCGUAAAACUCUGUUAUUAGGGAAGAACAAAUGUGUAAGUAACUAUGCACGUCUUGACGGUACCUAAUCAGAAAGCCACGGCUAACUGCGUG
This 497-nucleotide ribosomal RNA is filed under the name uncultured bacterium. RNAcentral describes it as "partial 16S ribosomal RNA". It matches the Rfam family "Bacterial small subunit ribosomal RNA", at positions 28 to 507 of the family's 1533-position model. The record is from RNAcentral.